Molecule: unclassified non-coding RNA, 470 nt
Filed under: Hevea brasiliensis (rubber tree)
Lineage: Eukaryota; Viridiplantae; Streptophyta; Magnoliopsida; Malpighiales; Euphorbiaceae
Source: RNAcentral
UAACGCUCCCAGCCCUCCAUAUCACAAGCCCUUUUGUCCGACGCUCUACAAUCUCGUGGCCUGUUCUCAUAUCAUGAGCCAAAACCUCAUGAAACUUGAGCCUUACCAGCUCAUUCUUCCUCCAUGAAUGAUGAAUCUUCUCCAACACUGCUCCUGUAACCCCAGCCUUAGGUACAUUAAUCCUUUCUCUCAAAGUCAUACCUAUUCUCCUCAGCCUCCUCAAUUCCUCAUCCUCAAUGGUUAGCUCAGCCAGUGACGGUGCCCUUACCGUCCUCUUCCCUCCUCUCUGCACCUCCACCGCCUCUUCCUCCACACUUCGUUCCCAUGGCAAAUAUGUAUCUCCCUCAUCAUCACUCUCUUCCAAUAUCAUAUCCGGUCGAACCCAAUCCCUCUUCAACAAAUCUCCUAACUUCUCUUCUUCACCGUUAACCUGCAUUGUCGAACUAGAAUCCAACUUCAAAUUUCCCUCU